UCUUGAAAUAAAAUUAAGAAACUUAUACUUAUAUUUGCUUGUGAAAACGUAUUGAUAUAAAAAUAAUGUACUUAGCUUUAAGCCUUACCUACAACUUUGUCAAGGCAAAGAAGCCGUCCUUUAAAUAAAUAAAAAAACCUGUCAAAAGCUUUUUACGUCAUCCUGUCAUUAGCUCACUCCAUCACUGUAAAAAUUCAUUCACAAUUUUCACCGUUUAUUCCUCAGUGAAGAUUUUCACUUUACAAUUUGCCCGCCAAAAUUACAAGGCUGAAUGUACACUUCCUUUUUACAAGCUUAAUAAGCGUCGAAGGGGCAGCCCUAUUAAUUAGGGCUGUCGCAAGGGUCAAAACAAGAACGAUUAAUUUUGUGGAUCGCUUCUAAGGGAGUUUGGGAGGUAAGGUUGUUACAUAAUGUGUAUUAGCUAUAUCAAGAUUGAGGUUUGGAAACUGUUGUUUUAUUUGAGUUUGACAAUUUUUAAUUAUCUUUUUAGAAAUAAGUUUUCUUUGUAUCCUUAGAAUAACAGCCGUAUUACAAUCAAAAACCUAACAAGGUAUGUAAUUUUCGUUCUAACUGUCAGAAUUGAAUAUGCCUUUUCUGAUAAUAUAAUCUAUUAUUCAAGUUAAAUAAAAGUGAUUGAUUUUUAACAGAAUUAAACAUUAACCUGGCUCAUAUCUUGACUACUUCACCCAACCGUGAUAGUAUACCAAGAUACCAAUACCAGUUAAAAAAAAAAAACUCAUGUCCCGAUUACAAAUAAUGUUGAUUAAAAACGCACUCUCAUUACGUCAAAGGUCAUGAGGAUCACAUGUAAAUAUUGUAUCUAUAUGAAUAGUAUCGAUCGGCAGCCCUAGCCGCCCCUCCAUUAGUCUGGCUACCUGUCGGCCCGUCGCGCCUGCCGUCUGCUGACGUCACACUCCAUUGAGCAUAGGGUGGCAGAUGGAAAUGGGACUUUGGUAUGUUGAUAAGUUGAUCGAAUCGAUCAAAUGUUAAUAGACAAAUGUUUUGAGUCUGAGUGUCUUGGGUAUGUGAUAUGAAUGUUUGUGAAACCUCCCACGAUAAAAGGGUCAAACUAAUUAGCGCGGAAGUCAUUGCUUUAGUUAUACGAGAGUUGUUACUAAAAUGACAUGGAUGUAGUGACUUUUAUUUGUCAGUCAGACAGACAGGAGCGAGUCAAUAGCGAUAGCAUUGGAAUAAAUUAACUUAUUUUCCCGAGAAUGACAAUAAUGCACUUCCUCCUACUUCCCUGUGAUCUCUGGUCACCCCUUCAUAUUGCCAGCGCCAGACUAGGGGAGCUCUCGAUAGAUAUUGUAAUACAUUAUUGUGAAUGUUUCUGUGUUUGCUGACAUAGAUUGAAAUCGAGAAGAAUUCUCAUUUCCAAUACAGGUUUAAAUCUUUGUUCGAUUUUCAUGGAAAUGGAAUAUUAUCAGGAUGGCGGAGAAAAUUGUUUAGUAUAAAAGAGACCUAGAGAAAAUCUAGAUAUUUUUGUUUAUAAACUUUUUAUUUUGAACAAAAACUCGUUUCCUUAUAAACGUUUUUGGACUAGAGCCAUAUAUGCCAGCGGAACCAUGUGUAACUAUAUGCUUCCAAAUAAAUGGAAUCUUGUAAAACGCUCUUUAUUUAACCAAGCAUUAAAAUGACUACAUACAGGUAUUUCGCUACGACGUGUACACACAAACCUACAAAACAGUAUAUUACAUUGGUGUUCAAUCGAUUGAUUCAACCAACACAGGAUUAAUAGCUGACUGGACUGAUUGAUUGGAAGCAACACGCAAUCGUGGCGUCACUCGAUUAGAGAUAGCUACGUGUUGACCACAGCAGAAUGCAAAAGUGUGAUGCCGCGAGGGUUCUUAAGAUGGUAAUCACAGUUUAUUUUUAUUUCAAUGGCGGGGCACUUGUGUCUAUUUUGCAUUGAUUUCCCUUCGGACAGGCAAUGAUUACGCUCGGAUUAAAGUGAAG
This is a long non-coding RNA of Trichoplusia ni (cabbage looper), 1956 nucleotides long. RefSeq lists it as uncharacterized. The record is from RefSeq and is a predicted model, not a curated record. The transcript has 2 exons. Lineage: Eukaryota; Metazoa; Arthropoda; Insecta; Lepidoptera; Noctuidae.